RNAcentral lists this ribosomal RNA (421 nucleotides) under uncultured bacterium. Its description in RNAcentral is "bacterial SSU rRNA". It matches the Rfam family "Bacterial small subunit ribosomal RNA", at positions 358 to 796 of the family's 1533-position model. The record is from RNAcentral.
GGAAUAUUGGACAAUGGGCGCAAGCCUGAUCCAGCCAUGCCGCGUGAGUGAAGAAGGCCUUAGGGUUGUAAAGCUCUUUCGGCGGGGAAGAUUAUGACGGUACCCGCAGAAGAAGCCCCGGCUAACUCCGUGCCAGCAGCCGCGGUAAUACGGAGGGGGCUAGCGUUGUUCGGAAUUACUGGGCGUAAAGCGCACGCAGGCGGUGCGGUCAGUCGGAUGUGAAAUCCCAGGGCUCAACCCUGGAAUUGCAUUCGAUACUGCCGCGCUGGAGGACGGAAGAGGAGAGUGGAAUUCCCAGUGUAGAGGUGAAAUUCGUAGAUAUUGGGAAGAACACCAGUGGCGAAGGCGGCUCUCUGGUCCGUUUCUGACGCUCAUGUGCGAAAGCGUGGGGAGCAAACAGGAUUAGAAACCCGGGUAGUCC